RNAcentral lists this non-coding RNA (92 nucleotides) under Syntrophaceae bacterium. Its description in RNAcentral is "TPP sequence". It matches the Rfam family "TPP riboswitch aptamer (THI element)". Rfam says of the family: Vitamin B(1) in its active form thiamin pyrophosphate (TPP) is an essential coenzyme that is synthesised by coupling of pyrimidine and thiazole moieties in bacteria. The record is from RNAcentral. Lineage: Bacteria; Pseudomonadati; Thermodesulfobacteriota; Syntrophia; Syntrophales; Syntrophaceae.
CAUAAACGCAAGGGGCGCCGAUUCAGGCUGAGAAGAUACCCUUUGAACCUGACCUGGGCAAUGCCAGCGUAGGGAAUGGCAGUGGUCGUGUU